RNAcentral lists this long non-coding RNA (2620 nucleotides) under Capsicum annuum. RNAcentral's name for it is "long non-coding RNA (CANN_LNC013956)". Lineage: Eukaryota; Viridiplantae; Streptophyta; Magnoliopsida; Solanales; Solanaceae. The record is from RNAcentral.
GUGGAGAUAACAAUAAAGGGGCAUUUACCCAUACUCGGGUUUUGGUUGGUUUUGAGUGUUUGACUAUUGCUUCUUGUACUCCAUUUCUAUGAACUCUCUUCUCUGUCUCUCUCUCUCAAAAAUAAAUCUGCCGUUCCUCAUUUGUUUUCAUUUGACUCGUCUUUAGGGUUUCUUAGCUAAUCAAGUCAUCAACAGAUUUCGAAAUUCCAUUACUUGGGGUUUAUUCUAACCUCAAAAAAUCAGUAAAAAGUUCGAAACAUUAAGCUUAGAGCAGCUCAAACAUCAACCAAUACAAUUUACUGUGUGGCAUUUUUUCAAGGUUCGCUUUUUCAUUCUUCUUUUGUUCUCAGUUCUGUGAAUUGAUAAUUCAGUUAGAUAUUCUGAAUCCUUGUCGUUGCCUGAGAUCUUUGUGUUGGCUGUUUAGAUUGGUUUAUCAUUAUUUCUGCUUUUUCAAAAAAAAAAGAAAAAAAAAAAGAACUUUCUAUUGGAUCAUCCCAUUCAAUUUGAAUGUCAUAUUCAGAAGAACAAUUUUGGCCUUUAUCUUAUUUGAAAAUUCAACAAUUCUUAUAUUAAAUGCCAGUACAUCUUAAUUAUUGAUUUAUCACCUUAUGUUUUGUUGAAAUUUAGAUAAUUUUAUUUAUUUAAUUAUCCGUUUGUUCUCUUGCUGAUUUUGUGCUUCUCGUGUGUUUGAAACCUAGGAACUUAUAACUGCUAACAGUUGACUAUUUAAUUCUGUAUCGUUGAAAUUGGGAAAAGCAUAUUUAUUUAUAUACCCUACUUCAGACAAAAUAAUCACUCUCUGUGGUAAAUUCAAUGAUACAAUUCUAUUAUAUUGGAUUUAUGUAGUAGUCUAGAUUUGAUCAUUUGUAACACAAUGAUGUUAAAAUAGAAAUUGAGUUGUGUUAUAUUUCACAAUGGAAUCAUGAGUAUUUUUAUCAUACACUGAUUUGGCAGGACUGUAUAAGCCAGUGUAGACACAAAAAUGGGUUGUUUCACAGUUUUAAAAUGUAAGAAGAAGAAGUCCGAACAGAGUAUCCACAUCAAACGUGUGAAUCCUCAGGAGCAUUCUCCUACUGCAUUGCCCGUGCCCCAAGUGCAGACACGGUCAUUGCAGUCAGCACCUCCAAGUUUUAGAACUAGAGUAAAAUCUAUACAGUCGAAUAACAGAGUUACAAGCAGUAGGACACGGGCACUCUCAGCCCCAUCUAGCCUGGACGCAACAGAACAAAAUGCUCUAGCAUCAAAUGAAUGCGAGGAACAGGACGAGUUCAGGAGUCGUGUUGGUUCAAUCAAGGAAUACCAAUCACCAAGUCCUCAGCCUCUUCCCCUUCCAUCUCCACAGAGUGCUGCCACUCUCAAAACUAUGGGAAGCUUUAAAGUUGGCAAUGCCAGCGGUCCGCUAAAUGUCUCUGGACCGCUGCCGCUGCCUCCUACUCUGCCUUCAACAUUGCCUUCUACUGGAGCACUCAGGAACUUCUCAUUUGAAGAAGUUGCUGCUGCCUUCGUCUAUCGCAACAGAUGAACGAUCUGUUAGAUUGUUCAUCUGUUGCAUCAGAUUUCAUACUUGCAUCAGAUUUUAAUCUGGUGCAUCAGAUAUUUUCAUCAGUUGUAUCAGAUGUCUUCAUCUGUUGUAUCAGAUAUUUCAUCUGUUGCAACACUAUUUUUACCCAAACAAACAACAAAUCAACCCAGCAACACCAACACAUCAUACACACACACUAAGAAGGGGUCUCCACUAAGAACAUCAACUGUGAACAAAAAUCACCAACAAAUUCGAAUCAACAGUACGACAACAACAAGAAGAAAUGCCAGAAAUUAGGGUUUUAUUUAGUCCAUAUUUCAAUACUAGAAGAGUAGUUAGCUCAAGUUCCUCUGUUUCUUCGUAAUAUUUUACCUGUGAAAAAAGAAAUGAGACGACGAAGAACUCGAAAUUAUUGUCGCCGGAAAAGUCUUCACAUUAAUUGACGGUUGAAAGUCGAAAGGGAACUCGCUCGACUAUUUUUCAUUGGAGAUUGAAGUCACCGGAGAUUGAAGGGAGAAUUUUGCAGAACUGUUGGUUUGGAGAGAAUUGAGAGAAGUUAUCGAGAGAAAGGAAAAAGACUGAUUGAUUUGGAUUGAAGAAGAAUGUGAAUUGAUUUAUAUUUUUAAAAAAAUUAAAAAAUUUUUAAAAUAUUAAUUAAAUCUAUAAUUAACUUGAUUAAAUUUUCUAAUGAUACUGAUCCUUUAAAUUAAUCAAUGUUACCAAUGUUUCAUUCAAUACUUAAAACACACCUUUCCUUCUCGAGUGUCUUUUGUGAUGUGGUAUGUGGAGAUAACAAUAAAGGGGCAUUUACCCAUACUCGGGUUUUGGUUGGUUUUGAGUGUUUGACUAUUGCUUCUUGUACUCCAUUUCUAUGAACUCUCUUCUCUGUCUCUCUCUCUCAAAAAUAAAUCUGCCGUUCCUCAUUUGUUUUCAUUUGACUCGUCUUUAGGGUUUCUUAGCUAAUCAAGUCAUCAACAGAUUUCGAAAUUCCAUUACUUGGGGUUUAUUCUAACCUCAAAAAAUCAGUAAAAAGUUCGAAACAUUAAGCUUAGAGCAGCUCAAACAUCAACCAAUACAAUUUACUGUGUGGCAUUUUUU